CCCUUAGAUGUUCUGGGCUGCACGCGCGCUACACUGAUGCGCUCAACGAGUUUACGACCUUGCCCGGAAGGGUUGGGUAAUCUUUUUAAAACGCAUCGUGAUGGGGAUAGAUUAUUGCAAUUAUUAAUCUUUAACGAGGAAUUCCUUGUAAGCGCGGGUCAUCAUCCCGCGCUGAAUACGUCCCUGCCCUUUGUACACACCGCCCGUCGCUCCUACCGAUUGAGUGGUCCGGUGAGGCUUUGGGAUCUGAGCGGAAAGAGCGUUUCGCUGUUUCUGCUCGGAAAACUCAGUCGAACCUUAUCAUUUAGAGGAAGGAGAAGUCGUAACA
RNAcentral lists this ribosomal RNA (328 nucleotides) under uncultured eukaryote. RNAcentral's name for it is "partial 18S ribosomal RNA". It matches the Rfam family "Eukaryotic small subunit ribosomal RNA", at positions 1470 to 1796 of the family's 1831-position model. The record is from RNAcentral.